RNAcentral lists this ribosomal RNA (558 nucleotides) under Triticum aestivum (bread wheat). RNAcentral's name for it is "partial small subunit ribosomal RNA". The record is from RNAcentral. Lineage: Eukaryota; Viridiplantae; Streptophyta; Magnoliopsida; Poales; Poaceae.
AUGACAGAACACGCGGCUGGAGUAGUAUUAAGCAGCCUAACUUCUCUCCAUCCAGUUCUAGCCAGAGCUGCAGACUCCUCGCCCAUGGCCGACCUCCCCGGAUUCCAAAUCAUUCCUCCUCGUCCAGCCGUGGAGAGACUCGAGUUCAACUUCCCCAACCUGUACCUGCACCGCGGCUUCUCUGGCGAGACUCAGAACCAGCUCGGACUAGGAGAUAAAGAGGAUCAUAUUGUCGGCGCGCUGGCCGUCAACAACUGGCCGGUGUACGACCGACCUGGGCCUGGGGAUGACGCUACCGUUGUUGCCCGUGUGCAAGGCCUGCACGUCAAGUCCGGUGACUGGCACGGUUCGUUCACCAUGGUGUUCCACUCCGGAAGCUUCAAGGGAUCCACGCUUCAGGUCAUGGGAAUACCGGUCGAUAGUGGUAACUGGGCCAUUGUUGGCGGGACCGGAGAUCUUGCGAUGGCAACCGGUGUCAUCACAAAACAAGCUCGUAAGCUAGGGAAAACCAACAGUAUUUUAAAACUUACUAUCCGAGGAUUCUGCCCCAUCCAUUAA